Molecule: long non-coding RNA, 911 nt
Organism: Harmonia axyridis
Lineage: Eukaryota; Metazoa; Arthropoda; Insecta; Coleoptera; Coccinellidae
Exons: 4
Source: RefSeq, a predicted model, not a curated record
CGAAAGUAAUCACGGUUUAUCAUAACCCAGUGCUCAAAGCAUAUCAUCAUUUAAUCAAAAUAUGAAUCAAUAUACUCAUUAUAAGCUAGUUGAAAAAAAUAAAUUCUUACCUGUAAUCAAUAGAAGGAAUGAAGCUGAUCUCACAUGGAAGAAAUGGAAUUACUGAAAUUAAAAUAAAAAAGCUUUGAUUGAAAAAUCAUUCAACUUCAUAAACACGGACCAAAGCAAAUCAUCACUGAAAUCUCAAUUAAAAAAAAAAGAAGAUUGAAAAAAUAUAUUUACCUAAAAAUAUUGAGAUUCACCUAAGAAAUAGAAUAUGAUAGUAACCUAGAAAGAAGAGAAAAGCUUUGAGAGUGAAAUCAUUAAACUUCAUAAACACGGACCAAAGCAAAUCAUCACUGAAACCUCAAUUAAAAAAAAAAAAAUUGAAAAAAUAUAUUUACCUGAAAAUAUUGAGAUUCACCCAAGAAAUAGAAUAUGAUAGUAACCUAGAAAGAAGAUAAAAGCUUUGAGAGUAAAAUCAUUCAACUUCAUAAACACGGACCAAAGCAAAUCAUCACUGAAACCUCAAUUAAAAAAAAGAAGAUUGAAAAAAUAUAUUUACCUGAAAAUUUUGUGAUUCACCCAAGAAAUAGAAUAUGAUAGUAACCUAGAAAGAAGAGAAAGUAUAUUAAAAAUUAUGGAAUAAUAAAAUAAUCAAUUUCUAAAAAUCAAAUAUUUCAGAGCUUUGAGAGUAAAAUCAUUCAACUUCAUAAACACGGACCAAAGCAAAUCAUCAUUUUUCAAACUAAUGAUAGUGAAAUAUAUCGUUAUGGUAUUGAAAUUUUGCUUUAUCUGUAUAACAUUAAGAAAAUCCUAUUGUUACAAAUGAAUUAAAAUUUCCCAUAAAAUCUGUUAACUCACCAUUUCAA